CGUCGGGUUUUAGGCUCUGAGAUUAAGGUACGCUGUCGCGUUUUGUGCACUAAGGUGGUAAUUGGGGCAGAACUUUCCGGCUUAGUUAAAAUGCAGGGGUUUCAAGAGACUUGUAGUGGUAGGUCCACGUCCGCUUUGAAAACCUCUUGGUUGGAAAACCUGAGGGGCCUUAGGUGUUCCUGAGGUCACGAGGCGGCCACGUGCAGCCCUGGGUGGCGAGCCUGAAGCCGAGCGCGCCCGGGUCGUGGGCCCUCGGGCAAAGGUCGCGAAACCCGCUGUCGGUGUCAAGUAGCCAUCUUGAAUCUACUCCGCCACUGUUAAAUAGUAACACCGCAUCCUGAAACUCCCCCAUUUAGAUCCGGAAGGAGGCUGAACCAACUGUCCGAUGGAUGAUAGAAAACAUGACAUGAUAAUCAAGAAAUUAAGGUGAUAUGGGUGAAGUCCUGUUUGUUUAGAAUCCUGUGGUGUCCUGCCAAAAGGUGAUCUUAAAUCUCAACAGCUCGGGUAUUGAGUGCAAAUAAUGUUCUGGAAACUAUCAGUGUGGUGUUUUCAAUAUAGGUCUGAUGUUUUUGCUUAACUAUGGCGUUUAAGUAGAGAAUAAGUGAGCACUUCCUUGCUUGCUGUAAUUAAAUAAAAUGCUUGAUUCAUCUGGAGAAUCCAGGUUCUCUAAAAAGGAAGUGGAAAGGUAUUUGUUACGACAAAUAAUAAGUAACAGACUACUUUUUCUGGUAAGAGGUAGUAUGGAAGUAGUAUGAAUGAUGAUUAUUGGUGUAAGGUACUACAGUAUUUGGAGGGAAACAACAUUAAAGGCGGGUACCCAUAAGGGACAGCACAGUUACCACACAAAAGAUUAAGGCUACUAUACAAGAUGAACAACUAUGUACUUUAUUCACACAAAUGUGCACUGAACACUUGUGUCAUUUAAAAUUCACACUUAACGCUUAACAAGAGCUAUAAUAAAGACAUAUUAUGAACCAAGUAUUCUAUUCAAGUUUGAGCAAACUGUAGGCUGCCUGUUGGCUGUUUUAAAAGUGUCCCAACCUCUGGCCUAUUAAAAAUUCAAUAUAAAUGUUGCUUGCAUCUGCACUAUAGUUUAAUUAGAAAGGUGGCCUGUGCGAAGUUUCAGUAGAGAUAAAUUUUCUCCUCUAUUGCACAUUUUUUUCAAGCCCCUUGUGCAGGUGUGCACUGUGUAGCUCUCAUCUCUGUAGAUGUAAAUGCUUGAAAAGUUUUUCCUUUAUCAAAAAUCUUGAGCUUUUAGAAAAGUUUUAAUGUUAUGUGUGAUAUAGCAUUGCAGUUUUGUAAAGUAGUAAACUAUAAAGCACCUUUAUGUUAGCACCAGUUUUUUUUGCAAAGCUGAGGAUUUACAAAAAACGCAAGUAGAUGCAGUUGGGAAAGUAGCGAAGUACCAUUCAUGUGGAUUUAGCCUUUGAAGAGGCUUACUUAACUGGUCCUAAAGUUCACACUGACUUCUUUACCUGUCUUUAUGCAAAUCUUUCUUGGAUAUACAAAAACUGCUUAAAACUACUUAAGGCCUGAGGGGCAUGCCUUUUAUGUUUGGGCAAAGAUUUUGCAUUGCUAUCAAGAAUGUCCUGAAAGAGUCCAUAGUAAGCAGCUGUCCCUUACUGGGUUGGGAAAAUAGCCAAAGGAGAAAAUUGACUUUAGACAGCAGUAGAGGGGGAAAAUAACAUUGUCAGUACUGGGGCACCUAUUCUGAAGUUAACAUCCCACUGGCUUACCUUGGCCUCUAGGUCUGUUCGACAAUUUGAAAGCUAGGGAUACUGUAAAAUCUUAUCAGCCUUUUGAAAAUUGUCAGUGAGGUGCAUAGCCACUUAAUGCAGUGUCUAGCACAUAGCUGGAGUAUGAAUUAAAUCAGUUGGAACAAAUAAGAUAUUUUAGAGCUUUUUUUCCCCCACUACAUAAGCAGAGAAAGCAUUUUUUUAAUAGUGUGUCUUUAUUAGCUGGGACAGGAUAGUGGAAAUCUACGUGUUUUAGUCAUUAUAAGAAAGUUGCAAUAGAUGGCACUCUUAAGUCAUGGUACAGCAAAUCGCAUGAUGCCAAGGAAAAAUUUUAUCAAGCCGAAAGUAACUGCUAGAGGAUGUUAACAAAUAAGGUGGAUAAAUUAGGUUGUAUAUCCCAACAACUUGAAGGCAUUCUUUACUAUCAGGUAUUCCAAAUUUUGCUAGGUAACUAGAAUGUGUUGCCAUAGUGCAUGGUACAAAGGCUUUAUUCAGGAAUGUAUUGUGACUGAUCCUAUUCCAGUCUAGGUUUAUAAUGGAUUCCUUCACUUUUUGGGCCUUGACUUCCUCACUUGUCAAAGGCUACAGAGAGUCAAUGUGGAAAUUUCUCAGCCUUUUGAAGAAAAUCUGAGCUUAAUUACACAAUAUCACUUAAGUGUAGUAAAGAGUAUUGAUUGAAUUACAGACUCUUAAUCCAAAAGAAUAAAAACAGGCUUAUUGCACAACUGAUAUACAGUAAUCUCUGGAGAGUGCUGAGAAUAAAGACUUCCAACAAUGCUAAUCAAGAAUAAUUAGUACUACACUGAGGUAUCUAACAGAAUGUUCACAUCACAAAUUUCUCAAGCAGCAAUGGUGUACAUGAUUUAAUCACAACACAAAAGCAGAAACAUGGCUCUCAUCCCCAUAAGUUGGCAUCUCUGGCUGAGUGCUAAUGUAGAGGUUGAAAAUUUUCCAACAUACUUUCUCUUCAGGUUUCCAUGAAGAAUUAUAAUUUGGUGACACUUUUUAUCCAAGGUACAAAGGCUGAGACUUUGGUAUAGACACCAGGUGAAUCCUUGGCUCCACAGCCAUACCCCCAGGAGGUUAUCCCAUAUACAACCCAACUCUCUCCUGCCCGAACACACAUAAGCGGUCCUCCGCUGUCUCCCUGGCAGCUGUCAACACGUUUGUGUUCAUGUAGAUUCCCAGCACAGAGCAUCCUUCCUGUAAACCGACCCUUAUAACGUUCUUCACAAAACCUCUUGGGAAGUAGGGGGAUGCUUGCUUGUUGUAGAGUUCUUGAAUAGGCUCGUCCUAGUCGGACCAAAUAAUCUGAAUUAGAUGCCAGCUAAAGACCUUACAGAAAACAUUUAACAGUUAAAUGAACUUUUAAUCUUGAAAAUAAAAGCCUUAUUGUGAUUAGUGUAGUUUAAAUGAGUGAUAACUAAAUGGUAUAGAAGGACAUAAAGUGGCAAGAACUACUCUAAAUAGCAUGGUAGAAGCAUGGCAUUUCAUAAGAAUGGAGGAGCAAAACAUUACUAUAUAUCAAACAGGCCUAAGUUUGAGCAUUUGAAGUUUGUGUACUCUAUACUGGUAGCCACUCAUUGUUCAGUGGCUAAAAUGUAUAAUUGAUAAUAUUCUCCAUGAGCCUUUUCUUGGAUCUAAAUUCCAUUGUUUUUCUUGUACCCUAUUAAUUGUAAUAACUCCUAAUAAAACAUUGUGUAAAGUUGA
This is a long non-coding RNA of Callorhinus ursinus (northern fur seal), 3446 nucleotides long. RefSeq lists it as uncharacterized. The record is from RefSeq and is a predicted model, not a curated record. NCBI's taxonomy places the organism in Eukaryota, Metazoa, Chordata, Mammalia, Carnivora, Otariidae.